This 140-nucleotide non-coding RNA is filed under the name Heterosigma akashiwo. The record is from RNAcentral. Lineage: Eukaryota; Raphidophyceae; Chattonellales; Chattonellaceae.
UUUCAUAACUCUCCUUUUUUUUCUUUUUGGCCUUCUUCUUCUUUUUCUUCUUGUUCCUCACUGCAAACGCAUAGCUGUUACAUAGCUCAUAUUACGGUUGAAACAAGAAGGUGCGUCAGCACUAAAAUGCGGUUGUCAAA